GGCGUUGUGGCUUAGGUGGUUAAAGCGCCUGUUUCGUAAACAGGAGAUCCUGGGUUCAAAUCCCAGCAGUGCGUUCU
Misgurnus anguillicaudatus (oriental weatherfish) is the source of this 77-nucleotide non-coding RNA. NCBI's taxonomy places the organism in Eukaryota, Metazoa, Chordata, Actinopteri, Cypriniformes, Cobitidae. The record is from the annotation of a RefSeq genome assembly.